RNAcentral lists this ribosomal RNA (1372 nucleotides) under uncultured bacterium. RNAcentral's name for it is "bacterial SSU rRNA". It matches the Rfam family "Bacterial small subunit ribosomal RNA", at positions 28 to 1381 of the family's 1533-position model. The record is from RNAcentral.
GAUGAACGCUGGCGGCGUGCCUAAUACAUGCAAGUCGAGCGAACGGACGAGAAGCUUGCUUCUCUGAUGUUAGCGGCGGACGGGUGAGUAACACGUGGAUAACCUACCUAUAAGACUGGGAUAACUUCGGGAAACCGGAGCUAAUACCGGAUAAUAUUUUGAACCGCAUGGUUCAAAAGUGAAAGACGGUCUUGCUGUCACUUAUAGAUGGAUCCGCGCUGCAUUAGCUAGUUGGUAAGGUAACGGCUUACCAAGGCAACGAUGCAUAGCCGACCUGAGAGGGUGAUCGGCCACACUGGAACUGAGACACGGUCCAGACUCCUACGGGAGGCAGCAGUAGGGAAUCUUCCGCAAUGGGCGAAAGCCUGACGGAGCAACGCCGCGUGAGUGAUGAAGGUCUUCGGAUCGUAAAACUCUGUUAUUGGGGAAGAACAUAUGUGUAAGUAACUGUGCACAUCUUGACGGUACCUAAUCAGAAAGCCACGGCUAACUACGUGCCAGCAGCCGCGGUAAUACGUAGGUGGCAAGCGUUAUCCGGAAUUAUUGGGCGUAAAGCGCGCGUAGGCGGUUUUUUAAGUCUGAUGUGAAAGCCCACGGCUCAACCGUGGAGGGUCAUUGGAAACUGGAAAACUUGAGUGCAGAAGAGGAAAGUGGAAUUCCAUGUGUAGCGGUGAAAUGCGCAGAGAUAUGGAGGAACACCAGUGGCGAAGGCGACUUUCUGGUCUGUAACUGACGCUGAUGUGCGAAAGCGUGGGGAUCAAACAGGAUUAGAUACCCUGGUAGUCCACGCCGUAAACGAUGAGUGCUAAGUGUUAGGGGGUUUCCGCCCCUUAGUGCUGCAGCUAACGCAUUAAGCACUCCGCCUGGGGAGUACGACCGCAAGGUUGAAACUCAAAGGAAUUGACGGGGACCCGCACAAGCGGUGGAGCAUGUGGUUUAAUUCGAAGCAACGCGAAGAACCUUACCAAAUCUUGACAUCCUUUGACAACUCUAGAGAUAGAGCCUUCCUCUUCGGGGGACAAAGUGACAGGUGGUGCAUGGUUGUCGUCAGCUCGUGUCGUGAGAUGUUGGGUUAAGUCCCGCAACGAGCGCAACCCUUAAGCUUAGUUGCCAUCAUUAAGUUGGGCACUCUAAGUUGACUGCCGGUGACAAACCGGAGGAAGGUGGGGAUGACGUCAAAUCAUCAUGCCCCUUAUGAUUUGGGCUACACACGUGCUACAAUGGACAAUACAAAGGGCAGCGAAACCGCGAGGUCAAGCAAAUCCCAUAAAGUUGUUCUCAGUUCGGAUUGUAGUCUGCAACUCGACUACAUGAAGCUGGAAUCGCUAGUAAUCGUAGAUCAGCAUGCUACGGUGAAUACGUUCCCGGGUCU